Molecule: non-coding RNA, 2223 nt
Organism: Physcomitrium patens
Lineage: Eukaryota; Viridiplantae; Streptophyta; Bryopsida; Funariales; Funariaceae
Source: RefSeq, a predicted model, not a curated record
ACCACUGCGACUCCUCGAGGCAGAGCCUCCGCGCAUUCUUCUAAUCGGCCUUCGUUAGUUCUCCGUGGCCAUCGUGCCCACGGAUUGUCGCAAUUGUAUUCGCAAUCAGUCCAAUCCCCUCAUCUCACCGAUCCCACUACUUACUUCUUCUCGCACUGAUUUUACACUCUUGUGCAUUCUGGUUUUACCUCAAUCUGUGUUAUCGUUGAAGCUCGUGAGGUUUGGGUUGAAGCCUGCGUGCGGUGUAGUACGUCUCGUUGAUUAAUUUCUGGAGUUUUUGGAGUUGGGUUUCCUGUUUAGAGCGACAUGGGUGGGAAAUUCUGAUGUUGGUUGAUAAGAUGGAGUAUCAGGGGCAGCAAGGGGGUGGAGAAGUCCGGUUCAACACCUCCCACGAAUUGCUCCCCAGCACUGCCGUGGCGAAUGAUAAGAUGCUGCAGCACUACCAACAGCAGUUUGGGCAGCAGCAGUUCGAUGCCAGGAGCGAUGUCAGACUCCCGAAUCAAAAGUUUCAGUCAAAUCCGAGCUCGUGUGGGGGCGUGGGCAGUGGGGAUGGCUGCGCAGCAACAUCUUCCAAUUCCGUCGUUUGUGGAGAGAGCAUUUCCUCAAGAAGAAAGAGGAAUUGUCGAAGCUGCAACUGUAGCUGCAGUGGAGCAGACCAUGAAGUAGUACGUCCACGAUUUGAUGCGGGUGAUGGAGUCAAUGACUGGGCGCAUUGGUCAGCUGGAGUCUUCGACUUGGCGUUUGGAGCAGAAGGUAUUGGAAUUAAAAGGCGGAUCUGAAAAGAGUCGAGAGAUUUCAGGGGACAAGAUUCUGUUCGUCGAGACUAUGCUCUCUGAGGUACAACGUGGUGUGCAGGGUCUUCGCAAUAAACAGGAGGUUAUGGAAGCUCCAUCUAAUAUAGAAUAGCGUCAAUUUGGCGGGGAGGGGAUUUCUUUGUCUUCAGGCCACAGCCAUAUGCCUUUACAGCCACCACCGGCACAGUCUCCGAGAGCAUCACAGCUACCUGAGACGCCAUCCUAUCAAAUGGGUCAACUCUCUCAUCCGCCACACCACUCUCACCACCUACCGGGCCAUCCUCCACCCCCAUACAUGGUGCCAGCACAGAUGAUAGGUCUUCCUUCUUCACCACCACCACCUCCUCCUGCUGUUGAGCCUCAUUACUAGACUUCUCAACAGCGUCCCCCUUCCCCUCAGCAAUCCUACUACGGUUCAUUCCCUCAUCCUCCUGCUGAGCUUCCAUCAUAUGGUGCAACGAUACCAGGUCCAUUCAAGGGACAAUCUGGGGGCUUUGGUCAGGAGGUUCCACCACCACCUUAUGGUAGCCAGUCGCACCAGUCGCCUCUGGGUGUACCUGAUGGGUCACAAAUGUAUAAUGAUCAGUCGGCUGUUAUGCCUCCUUUACAAUUUCAAGGUCGCCCUGGAGUUCUCGCUUAUGAGCAGUUGAUGGGGCCAUCGCCUGGCUACUCCAAUCUGGAGUAUGGAAUUGGACAGCAAACCCCGUCAGCUCCAAGCAGCGGAGCGGGAGGCUAUCGUAGGUUGCCUACUGCUCAGCCUGUAAACCAUGCCAUGCAACAGCGAGAAAGCGGGAAGGAGCGCCAACGCCCUCUGGUGCUACUCCUGUGCCCACGAACCGGAUGUCCAUUGAUGAAGUUAUUGACAGGGCUGCAUUGAUGGGAUUCUCUAAGGACCAAGUGUGGGCUGUUGCGCGGGAAUUCUCAGAGAAUUCUCAGGCUGUAGAUUUCAACAUUGUGCUCGACAAGUUGGUGAAUGGGGAAAGCUGCAGCGCAGCCUCCCAAAGGUUGGUUUCAAAGGGGUUGAAAUUCGGAGCCGCUCUUCGGACACUGCUCGUUUGUUUCCAAUUAGUUCAUUGUAAGGACAACUAGUGGACCAGUUGCAGUGGGCUUGUAGCAUGAGACCUCGGUUUUGUUGUGGCUAUUUAAGUUUAUAUUUGGUGUAUAUGUGUACAUACGUAAGAGAUACUAGAUGCUCCUGUCUUACAUGCCUUGGUUAAACCAUUCUUCGCCUGGUUGAUUGGUUGCUUUUCCAAGCUAUCGUACAUAGUUCUCUGAAAACUGCUGGUUCUCAUUUUGUUUUUCACACCAAGGAAAUCCUGCAGCUUCUAGUCUUUUGAUUGGAUCGUAUUAGUAGCCAUCAAGGAAACCAUAUGCCUUGCAUCAAUUCUGUGAAUCAGAAAUAUUCUUCAUGGACAUUGUUCUUGACUCA